AACACGAGACGCGUCGACCGGUACUGCAGUUCUCUCCCCUUGCUCGUCCCUGGCACUGCAGGCACGCGACUCCGGAGCUCACAGGGGACGGAACUCUGCACGCGCCUGUCUGGUUCCGGGGUGAGUGACGCCCAGAUCAAACGCGUCGUGCCGGCGUGAGGCGAAUACCGCUAGCUGUAGAUCAGGUCUCGUUGUACCUAGCUGCUCACCUACAGGCGCACUUAGCAGACCAGUGGCCGGUCACCGCUAGUCAGACGACUGGACAGUAAAGUGGGCAGUCCUCUAAUUAAUUAGAUUAUCGGUUCACGUCUUCGUUUUCAUUGCUGCAGACAUCUGCUCUGAUCAGCUCGAAACUUGAAAGCACCAUAAAUCACUGCUGCUUCUGAUAGACGUUAUAAAUUAUGAGAUAUACCCCCAGCUGUGAGAAGUUUGAAAGCAUUGUAUCUGUCUGAACAAUUUAUAUUAUUAUUAGGUAAACAUCGUACUUACCGUACAUGAACCUGUGGAUAAAGAGUAUUGCUUGCCAACAGAAAUAUUUUCAGACUGAGAUUGUGUGCUAAAAGAACCUCCCCCUGUUCAAUGUGGCCACAAUAGAGUACCACCUGAGAUUUCGAAGGCUUUUAUCUAAGAAAGUCCAAUAGUACUUACUGUUACCUGAAUAAGACAGAUCCCUCUGUGGGGACUUACGACCUCAGAAUCCCCAACAGUUUAGCAGAGAGUUUUUGAAGGGUGUGCACAUUAAUAUAGCACGCUUGGUUUCUGAGAAAUAUUUCUAUACCUGGAUUGGGAGCCACGGACGACACUUUUUUCAACGUCAGUGAGUGUGGGAGAAAUCUGAGACUGACCAGUCGACGUCCGCCCCUCAUCGCGUCCAGCAGACGACAUGACUGAGGGUAGAGGGCGCCAUUCCCAGGCCAGAUCGUGAGGGCGCGACAUGACCCCUGACCUCUCGGACGAGAGCAGACGUGUCAGGUCGGAGUGGACACUUGUUUGGACGACUGUCUUAUCGCGGUCUGUACACACUUUAACACACUCACGUCUCCCUGUGGUCAGUGCUGUGUCCACCACAAACUCAUUUCUCGCUUGUGGGUUCUAAUUACAGCAAUCGGCGCCGGCACCUUGGCACCUGAAUCACCGUCGCCUUCUUCUUCGUCAUCGUCGUUGUCGUUGCCGUGUUGGUAGCUGACGUCAUCAGACUUUGUGGAUACCUGAAACACUCCACCUCCGCUCUCAAGGGUUCUAAUUACUGCAAUCGGCGCCGCACCUUGGCACCUGAGUCAUCGUCGCCUUCUUCAUCAUCGUCUUCGUCAUCGUUGUCGUUGUUGUCGUUGUCGUCGUUGCUAUGUUGGUAGCUGACGUCAUCAGACUUUGUGGAUACCCGAGACUCCACCUGCUGACCUGUCGCUUGCCGUCCGUCGGGAUAUGAGCUCUGGAUGAAAGCAUGUUCGAAGCAGAGAAAUCGGGUUUUUUCACUCCGUGCACGGGAAAUAAUACGCCUAUUCGGGAAUGGGACGAUUUUCUACUGGACCGUUCCUACACUGUGUGAUUCUCACCUUGGCUACAAUGCACACAG
Aplysia californica (California sea hare) is the source of this 1573-nucleotide long non-coding RNA. RefSeq lists it as uncharacterized. Lineage: Eukaryota; Metazoa; Mollusca; Gastropoda; Aplysiida; Aplysiidae. The record is from RefSeq and is a predicted model, not a curated record. The transcript has 2 exons.